This 227-nucleotide long non-coding RNA is filed under the name Lepidothrix coronata (blue-crowned manakin). RNAcentral's name for it is "lncRNA (ENSLCOG00000001332.1)". Lineage: Eukaryota; Metazoa; Chordata; Aves; Passeriformes; Pipridae. The record is from RNAcentral.
CAAUUCCUCUGAUAGAGCAUUCGAGGUCAAGUGCCAAGCUAUCAGUGGGGAUGGAGUAAAGCACCUUUAUCUGAGCCUUCGCUGACACGGGACUCGGCCGUGACUCACAGAGGGUGCAAAAGGCUCGUGCAGACUGAGAUUGUAGAUCUUCACCCAAAUCCACUCUGCCUGUGACAUCCUGCAGAUCACAAGGCCUCUCAGAGCUUAUGCCUUCAGGCUGACUUGAA